Molecule: long non-coding RNA, 468 nt
Organism: Triticum dicoccoides
Lineage: Eukaryota; Viridiplantae; Streptophyta; Magnoliopsida; Poales; Poaceae
Exons: 3
Source: RefSeq, a predicted model, not a curated record
ACGAGUGGUGCAUAAAUGUUUUAUUGCUAUUUAUCCUUUCAUGAGCUGGAUGUGCCAUUGAUGGCGAUGGCGAGCUUGGAUUAGUUGGAUUCAGAAGGUUGAGAUGAUGGAUGGUUCCAAGGUUUGGCCACAAUAUUUGGAGACAUUUCCUGUUAGGAGUUAAGGGACAUCCCGACACAUGAUGCUCCAUCAACAACUUCAGAAUAUGAUGCUGAUCCUCAACCUGCAACUUUGUAGCCACACUGCCUUUUGUUUUAUGUAGAAAAUUAACAGAUUUUGUUAUGUGUUUCAGCAUGAGCUAAUAAUUAGAAAUAACAGAUUUUGUUAGUUAUGAGAUUGGUCCUUCAAUAUGGCAUAGAAAACAUAUUUUUGAGUACUCCUGCUGUUUUGCUGCUUGCAAAGUAGUUUGAUGGUUUUUUAAACAAUUCUAAGCACGUAUUUAUUGAUUUUGUAUCCGUUGGGAUGCAC